This 495-nucleotide ribosomal RNA is filed under the name uncultured bacterium. Its description in RNAcentral is "partial 16S ribosomal RNA". It matches the Rfam family "Bacterial small subunit ribosomal RNA", at positions 28 to 507 of the family's 1533-position model. The record is from RNAcentral.
GACGAACGCUGGCGGCGUGCCUAAUACAUGCAAGUAGAACGCUGAAGGAGGAGCUUGCUUCUCUGGAUGAGUUGCGAACGGGUGAGUAACGCGUAGGUAACCUGCCUGGUAGCGGGGGAUAACUAUUGGAAACGAUAGCUAAUACCGCAUAAGAGUAGAUGUUGCAUGACAUUUGCUUAAAAGGUGCAAUUGCAUCACUACCAGAUGGACCUGCGUUGUAUUAGCUAGUUGGUGGGGUAACGGCUCACCAAGGCGACGAUACAUAGCCGACCUGAGAGGGUGAGCGGCCACACUGGGACUGAGACACGGCCCAGACUCCUACGGGAGGCAGCAGUAGGGAAUCUUCGGCAAUGGACGGAAGUCUGACCGAGCAACGCCGCGUGAGUGAAGAAGGUUGUCGGAUCGUAAAGCUCGGUUGUAAGAGAAGAACGAGUGUGAGAGUGGAAAGUUCACACUGUGACGGUAUCUUACCAGAAAGGGACGGCUAACUACGUG